UAAACGGCGGCUGUAUCGUAAACGGUCCUAAGGUAGCAAAAUUCCUUGUCGGGUAAUCUCCGUCCUGCAUGAACGGUGUAACGACUUCCCCAUUGUCGCUAGUGUGAGACUCCUAAUAAAUAGAAUUAUCCAUGAAUAUGUGGAAUCAUACGGCCCGACGGUAAGACCCUGAGCACCUU
RNAcentral lists this ribosomal RNA (179 nucleotides) under Plasmodium vivax (malaria parasite P. vivax). RNAcentral's name for it is "large subunit ribosomal RNA fragment E". It matches the Rfam family "Bacterial large subunit ribosomal RNA", at positions 1924 to 2101 of the family's 2925-position model. The record is from RNAcentral. Lineage: Eukaryota; Apicomplexa; Aconoidasida; Haemosporida; Plasmodiidae.